Molecule: long non-coding RNA, 1942 nt
Organism: Gallus gallus (chicken)
Lineage: Eukaryota; Metazoa; Chordata; Aves; Galliformes; Phasianidae
Source: Ensembl
GCAAAAAUAUAUAAAAUACUGCAUGUUCAUAUAAAGAAAUUGUGUCUGUUAAAAACACUUGCAUAUAUUCACAUAAUUACACACCUAUAUGUAUAUAUGUGCGUACAGCAAAUAUCCUAAAAGGGUAUUUACACAAAUUAGCGUUUCCAAACACACAGGCAGGGAGAGGGGCACCAAUCAGAGGGUGAGUGAAGGUCACGUGGCUGUCACUGCGCACAGCCAAUCAGAAGGCACUGUGAAAACAGCGCCCACUCCCUGCCACGAAAUGGCAGCUGACACAAAAUGGCGGCUCCCAGUGUAUGCAAGGGGACGGGCUUCCUGUUCAAUGAACCAAUGGGAGAGCUGGAGGUGUGGGCUGGUUCUGGCAGCCAAUCCCACCAGGGUAGGUGUGGGCAGGAGGGAGGAGUUCUGGGACACGCUGCCUUGGAGGUGAGGCUGGCGGGAGCAUCUUGCAGGACUGAGGAAAAUCUCCUCAGCUAAGCUCAUACUGCCAGCAGCCCAGUGCAUAGAGCCACUCACAGGCCUUGGUGUGCUGCAGGAGGAAGGUGUUGAUCUCUUGGAGUGUUCCUUUGCCGUAGGACGGCCUCUCUGCCUGUCAGCCAGUGGCAGGGAAGGCAGCACGUGGAGCUGGAGGUUGUGCCUGCUGCAGCUCUGCUCAACAGAGCCACGUAGGUCCCUGUUCCUGAGAAAAGUUGCUGCGCUCCUCUCAGUAUUAUCUUGCAGGUGAAUCUUCCAUAACUGCUAGAGGAAUGCCCAUAAGUUAUCCUAGCAGUGGUCUGAGAGUGCAGCACGUGGUCCCUGCCACGAAAUGGCGGCUGACACAAAAUGGCAGCUCCCAGUGUACACAAGGGGACAGGCUUCCUGUUCAAGUGACCACUGGGAGAGCUGGAGGUGUGGGCUUGUUCUGGCAGCCAAUCCCACCAGGGUAGGUGUGCUCAGGAGGGAGGAGCUCUGGGACACGCUGCCUUGGAGGUGGGGCUGGCGGGAGCAUCUUGCGGGACUGAGGAAAAUCUCCUCCUCAGCUAAGCUCAUGCAGCCAGCAGCCCAGUGCAUAGAGCCAUUCACAGGCCUUGGUGUGCUGCAGGAGGAGGGUGUUGAUCUGUUGGAGUGUUCCUUGCCGUAGGAGGGCCUCUCUGUCUGGCAGCCAGUGGCAGGGAAGGCAGCACGUGGAGCUGGAGGUUGUGCCUGCUGCAGCUCUGCUCAGCUGAGCCACGUGGGCCCCUGUUCCUGAGAAAAGUUGCUGUGCUCCACUGUCUGUUAUCUUGCAGGUUUAUCUUUCAUAACUUCUUGAGCAAUAACCGUAAGUUAGCUUAGCAGUGCACUCAGAGUGCAGCACAUGGUCCCCGCCAUGAAAUGGCGGCUGACACAAAAUGGUGACUCCCAGUGUAUGCAAGGGGACGGGCUUCCUGUUCAAGUGACCACUGGGAGAGCUGGAGGUGUGGGCUGGUUGAGGCAGCCACUCCCACCAGAGUAGGUGUGGGCAGGAGGGAGGAGUUCUGGGACACGCUGCCUUGGAGGUGAGGUAUACAGGGAGUUGCUGUCAUCUGUGAGGGUUACGUAGGUAUUGGUGGCUGGAAAGUUCUGUUUUGUGACCUGCCCAUACUUCUGACGGGGUGAUGCAGAGCUGUGUUGUCUGAAUAUCUUACUUGGCAGUGAGGGUGGUUAUGCCAAUGAGUUUCAAGGUGGACCUGACAAACAUCUCUUCUGUUGCUGCACGCCAGUCCUGUGUCUGCUGCCUGCUGACCUGCUGUGCCUCCAGACCAUCAUGGCCAGAGUUGAUGAGCACAGGAACAUCUCAGUGCUCUGACUGAUCCUGGGGGCAUCAGAGUGGCCUCCCUGACUGGAGCUGGCACUCCUCUGAUGCCCCAAACAUUUGGCCCUACUCCUGCAGCCUUGCAAGGCCUGCCUGGCUGUCAUUCACAGUCUUUAUUGUGUGCUCCAC